RNAcentral lists this ribosomal RNA (952 nucleotides) under Lactiplantibacillus plantarum. RNAcentral's name for it is "bacterial SSU rRNA". It matches the Rfam family "Bacterial small subunit ribosomal RNA", at positions 397 to 1341 of the family's 1533-position model. Lineage: Bacteria; Bacillati; Bacillota; Bacilli; Lactobacillales; Lactobacillaceae. The record is from RNAcentral.
CCGCGUGAGUGAAGAAAGGGUUUCGGCUCGUAAAACUCUGUUGUUAAAGAAGAACAUAUCUGAGAGUAACUGUUCAGGUAUUGACGGUAUUUAACCAGAAAGCCACGGCUAACUACGUGCCAGCAGCCGCGGUAAUACGUAGGUGGCAAGCGUUGUCCGGAUUUAUUGGGCGUAAAGCGAGCGCAGGCGGUUUUUUAAGUCUGAUGUGAAAGCCUUCGGCUCAACCGAAGAAGUGCAUCGGAAACUGGGAAACUUGAGUGCAGAAGAGGACAGUGGAACUCCAUGUGUAGCGGUGAAAUGCGUAGAUAUAUGGAAGAACACCAGUGGCGAAGGCGGCUGUCUGGUCUGUAACUGACGCUGAGGCUCGAAAGUAUGGGUAGCAAACAGGAUUAGAUACCCUGGUAGUCCAUACCGUAAACGAUGAAUGCUAAGUGUUGGAGGGUUUCCGCCCUUCAGUGCUGCAGCUAACGCAUUAAGCAUUCCGCCUGGGGAGUACGGCCGCAAGGCUGAAACUCAAAGGAAUUGACGGGGGCCCGCACAAGCGGUGGAGCAUGUGGUUUAAUUCGAAGCUACGCGAAGAACCUUACCAGGUCUUGACAUACUAUGCAAAUCUAAGAGAUUAGACGUUCCCUUCGGGGACAUGGAUACAGGUGGUGCAUGGUUGUCGUCAGCUCGUGUCGUGAGAUGUUGGGUUAAGUCCCGCAACGAGCGCAACCCUUAUUAUCAGUUGCCAGCAUUAAGUUGGGCACUCUGGUGAGACUGCCGGUGACAAACCGGAGGAAGGUGGGGAUGACGUCAAAUCAUCAUGCCCCUUAUGACCUGGGCUACACACGUGCUACAAUGGAUGGUACAACGAGUUGCGAACUCGCGAGAGUAAGCUAAUCUCUUAAAGCCAUUCUCAGUUCGGAUUGUAGGCUGCAACUCGCCUACAUGAAGUCGGAAUCGCUAGUAA